UGGGGAAUCUUGGACAAUGGGGGCAACCCUGAUCCAGCGAUGCCGCGUGGGUGAAGAAGGCCUUCGGGUUGUAAAGCCCUUUAGGUUGGGAAGAAGUAUAUGGUAGGAAAUGACUAUAUAUUGACGGUACCGACAGAAUAAGCACCGGCAAACUCUGUGCCAGCAGCCGCGGUAAUACAGAGGGUGCGAGCGUUAAUCGGAGUUACUGGGCGUAAAGGGCGCGUAGGCGGAAAUAUGAGUGUUAUGUGAAAGCCCUGGGCUUAACCUGGGAAGUGCAUAGCAAACGAUAUAUCUGGAGUACAAGAGAGGGUGGCGGAAUUUCCGGUGUAGCGGUGAAAUGCGUAGAGAUCGGAAGGAACGCCGAUGGCGAAGGCAGCCACCUGGCUUGAUACUGACGCUGAGGCGCGAAAGCGUGGGGAGCGAACAGGAUUAGAUACCCCCGUAGUCC
Molecule: ribosomal RNA, 448 nt
Filed under: uncultured bacterium
Lineage: Bacteria
Description: bacterial SSU rRNA
Rfam family: Bacterial small subunit ribosomal RNA
Source: RNAcentral